UCUAUCAUGCAGUCGAGCGGACAGAUGGGAGCUUGCUCCCUGAUGUUAGCGGCGGACGGGUUGAGUAACACGUGGGUAACCUGCCUGUAAGACUGGGAUAACUCCGGGAAACCGGGGCUAAUACCGGAUGGUUGUUUGAAUCGCAUGGUUCAAACAUAAAAGGUGGCUUCGGCUACCACUUACAGAUGGACCCGCGGCGCAUUAGCUAGUUGGUGAGGUAACGGCUCACCAAGGCGACGAUGCGUAGCCGACCUGAGAGGGUGAUCGGCCACACUGGGACUGAGACACGGCCCAGACUCCUACGGGAGGCAGCAGUAGGGAAUCUUCCGCAAUGGACGAAAGUCUGACGGAGCAACGCCGCGUGAGUGAUGAAGGUUUUCGGAUCGUAAAGCUCUGUUGUUAGGGAAGAACAAGUACCGUUCGAAUAGGGCGGUACCUUGACGGUACCUAACCAGAAAGCCACGGCUAACUACGUGCCAGCAGCCGCGGUAAUACGUAGGUGGCAAGCGUUGUCCGGAAUUAUUGGGCGUAAAGGGCUCGCAGGCGGUUUCUUAAGUCUGAUGUGAAAGCCCCCGGCUCAACCGGGGAGGGUCAUUGGAAACUGGGGAACUUGAGUGCAGAAGAGGAGAGUGGAAUUUCCACGUGUAGCGGUGAAAUGCGUAGAGAUGUGGAGGAACACCAGUGGCGAAGGCGACUCUCUGGUCUGUAACUGACGCUGAGAGCGAAAGCGGUGGGGGAGGCGAACAGGAUUAGAUACCCUGGUAGUCCACCGCCGUAAACGAUGAGUGCUAAGUGUUAGGGGGUUCCGCCCCUUAGUGCUGCAGCUAACGCAUUAAGC
Molecule: ribosomal RNA, 838 nt
Filed under: Bacillus subtilis
Lineage: Bacteria; Bacillati; Bacillota; Bacilli; Caryophanales; Bacillaceae
Description: bacterial SSU rRNA
Rfam family: Bacterial small subunit ribosomal RNA
Source: RNAcentral